Molecule: ribosomal RNA, 510 nt
Filed under: uncultured archaeon
Lineage: Archaea
Description: partial 16S ribosomal RNA
Rfam family: Archaeal small subunit ribosomal RNA
Source: RNAcentral
CCGCCUGGGAAGUACGGCCCGCAAGGCUGAAACUUAAAAGGAAUUNGGCGGGGGAGCNCUNCAACGGGUGGAGCCUGCGGUUUAAUUGGAUUCAACGCCGGGAAGCUUACCGGGGGAGACAGCGGGNUGNAGGUCGGGCUGAAGUCCCUACCAGACUAGCUGAGAGGUGGUGCAUGGCCGCCGUCAGUUCGUACUNUGAAGCAUCCUGUUAAGUCAGGCNACGAGCGAGGCCCGCGCCCUCAGUUGCCAGCGGAUUNCUUUUGUGAUGCCGGGCACACUGGGGGGACUGCCGGCGCUAAGCCGGAGGAAGGUGCGGGCAACGGCAGGUCCGUAUGCCCCGAAUCCCCCGGGCUACACGCGGGCUACAAUGGCCGGNUCAAUGGCNUACCGACCCCGACNGGGAUNGGUAAUCUCCUAAACCCGGUCUAACCUGGGAUCNGAGGGCUGCAACUUCGCCCUCGUGAACCUGGAAUCCGUAGUAAUNCGAGCCUCAAAAUGGCGCCGNGAAUA